GUAACACUGCCUUGGAGAGACGAGGAUGCACCAAUGUGACAAACGCUUCCGUACAGCGAGGCGAGACGCAAUACAAGCUUCAUGAACACGGGUUGAAGACGCAGGAGCAGGAAGUGUGGAGUCCAUGAUGCCCUGUCACCACCACCACCACCCUCAGCGGACGUGGAACAGAAGCAUCCGCCGCCGCCACAACUGUGAUAUUCAUAAACCGUGUCUUGCGCAAUAAUGUUAUCCUCGCGUCUUUCAGUGGCAGGGAGGCAUGGCAGCGACCAGCAGUGGCGUGGGAUAUAUGAUGACUGCACUUAUGUUGAUCACCACGGCGGAGUUUGUCGAGUAAUGAUGUUUUAGCUUUCCAAUACCUAAAGUGCAGCUUCCUUCCACUGUAGCCUGAUCAGACAUCAUAUUGUGCUCGGAUCAGCUACGUGAGUGAGGCAAUAGCUGAGAAUAGAAGUAAGAAUAGAAGCUAAAACACCAGAUAAGCAAUGCAAUACUUAACUGCACAGAAAGGAAUAACAUUACUUCAUAAUAAAUAACGAGUGAGAAAAAAAAAA
Portunus trituberculatus (swimming crab) is the source of this 551-nucleotide long non-coding RNA. RefSeq lists it as uncharacterized. The transcript has 2 exons. The record is from RefSeq and is a predicted model, not a curated record. Lineage: Eukaryota; Metazoa; Arthropoda; Malacostraca; Decapoda; Portunidae.